GACGAACGCUGGCGGCGUGCCUAAUACAUGCAAGUCGAGCGAAUUGACGAAGAAAGCUUGCUUUCUUCUGAUGUUAGCGGCGGACGGGUGAGUAACACGUGGGCAACCUGCCCUUUAGUUUGGGAUAACUUCGGGAAACCGGAGCUAAUACCGAAUAAUACUCCAAACCUCAUGGUUUGAAGUUGAAAGAUGGUUUCGGCUAUCGCUAAAGGAUGGGCCCGCGGUGCAUUAGCUAGUUGGUGAGGUAACGGCUCACCAAGGCAACGAUGCAUAGCCGACCUGAGAGGGUGAUCGGCCACACUGGGACUGAGACACGGCCCAGACUCCUACGGGAGGCAGCAGUAGGGAAUCUUCCACAAUGGACGAAAGUCUGAUGGAGCAACGCCGCGUGAGUGAUGAAGGAUUUCGGUUCGUAAAACUCUGUUGCAAGGGAAGAACAAGUAGCGUAGUAACUGGCGCUACCUUGACGGUACCUUGUUAGAAAGCCACGGCUAACUACGUGCCAGCCGCCGCCGUAAGAC
RNAcentral lists this ribosomal RNA (521 nucleotides) under uncultured bacterium. RNAcentral describes it as "bacterial SSU rRNA". It matches the Rfam family "Bacterial small subunit ribosomal RNA", at positions 28 to 526 of the family's 1533-position model. The record is from RNAcentral.